GAUGAACGCCGGCGGUGUGCCUAAUACAUGCAAGUCGAACGCGUUGGCCCAAUUGAUUGAUGGUGCUUGCACCUGAUUGAUUUUGGUCGCCAACGAGUGGCGGACGGGUGAGUAACACGUAGGUAACCUGCCCAGAAGCGGGGGACAACAUUUGGAAACAGAUGCUAAUACCGCAUAACAGCGUUGUUCGCAUGAACAACGCUUAAAAGAUGGCUUCUCGCUAUCACUUCUGGAUGGACCUGCGGUGCAUUAGCUUGUUGGUGGGGUAACGGCCUACCAAGGCGAUGAUGCAUAGCCGAGUUGAGAGACUGAUCGGCCACAAUGGGACUGAGACACGGCCCAUACUCCUACGGGAGGCAGCAGUAGGGAAUCUUCCACAAUGGGCGCAAGCCUGAUGGAGCAACACCGCGUGAGUGAAGAAGGGUUUCGGCUCGUAAAGCUCUGUUGUUAAAGAAGAACACGUAUGAGAGUAACUGUUCAUACGUUGACGGUAUUUAACCAGAAAGUCACGGCUAACUACGUGCCAGCAGCCGCGGUAAUACGUAGGUGGCAAGCGUUAUCCGGAUUUAUUGGGCGUAAAGAGAGUGCAGGCGGUUUUCUAAGUCUGAUGUGAAAGCCUUCGGCUUAACCGGAGAAGUGCAUCGGAAACUGGAUGACUUGAGUGCAGAAGAGGGUAGUGGAACUCCAUGUGUAGCGGUGGAAUGCGUAGAUAUAUGGAAGAACACCAGUGGCGAAGGCGGCUACCCUGGUCUGCAACUGACGCUGAGACUCGAAAGCAUGGGUAGCGAACAGGAUUAGAUACCCUGGUAGUCCAUGCCGUAAACGAUGAGUGCUAGGUGUUGGAGGGUUUCCGCCCUUCAGUGCCGGAGCUAACGCAUUAAGCACUCCGCCUGGGGAGUACGACCGCAAGGUUGAAACUCAAAGGAAUUGACGGGGGCCCGCACAAGCGGUGGAGCAUGUGGUUUAAUUCGAAGCUACGCGAAGAACCUUACCAGGUCUUGACAUCUUGCGCCAACCCUAGAGAUAGGGCGUUUCCUUCGGGAACGCAAUGACAGGUGGUGCAUAGUCGUCGUCAGCUCGUGUCGUGAGAUGUUGGGUUAAGUCCCGCAACGAGCGCAACCCUUGUUACUAGUUGCCAGCAUUAAGUUGGGCACUCUAGUGAGACUGCCGGUGACAAACCGGAGGAAGGUGGGGACGACGUCAGAUCAUCAUGCCCCUUAUGACCUGGGCUACACACGUGCUACAAUGGACGGUACAACGAGUCGCGAACUCGCGAGGGCAAGCAAAUCUCUUAAAACCGUUCUCAGUUCGGACUGCAGGCUGCAACUCGCCUGCACGAAGUCGGAAUCGCUAGUAAUCGCGGAUCAGCAUGCCGCGGUGAAUACGUUCCCGGGCCUUGUACACACCGCCCGUCACACCAUGAGAGUUUGUAACACCCAAAGUCGGUGGGGUAACCUUUUAGGAGCCAGCCGCCUAGGGUGGGACAGAUGAUUAGGGUG
Molecule: ribosomal RNA, 1499 nt
Filed under: Limosilactobacillus fermentum
Lineage: Bacteria; Bacillati; Bacillota; Bacilli; Lactobacillales; Lactobacillaceae
Description: bacterial SSU rRNA
Rfam family: Bacterial small subunit ribosomal RNA
Source: RNAcentral